Molecule: ribosomal RNA, 255 nt
Filed under: uncultured bacterium
Lineage: Bacteria
Description: partial 16S ribosomal RNA
Rfam family: Bacterial small subunit ribosomal RNA
Source: RNAcentral
UACGUAGGGGGGCAAGCGUUUGUCCGGAAUCAUUGGGCGUAAAGAGCGUGUAGGCGGCUCGGUAAGUCCGCUGUGAAAGUCCAGGGCUCAACCCUGGAAUGCCGGUGGAAACUGUCGAGCUAGAGUCCGGAAGAGGCGAGUGGAAUUCCUGGUGUAGCGGUGAAAUGCGCAGAUAUCAGGAGGAACACCAAUGGCGAAGGCAGCUCGCUGGGACGGUACUGACGCUGAGACGCGAAAGCGUGGGGAGCAAACAGG